RNAcentral lists this ribosomal RNA (447 nucleotides) under uncultured bacterium. Its description in RNAcentral is "bacterial SSU rRNA". It matches the Rfam family "Bacterial small subunit ribosomal RNA", at positions 355 to 825 of the family's 1533-position model. The record is from RNAcentral.
UCGGGAAUUUUGGGCAAUGGGGGAAACCCUGACCCAGCAACGCCGCGUGAAGGAUGAAGUAUUUCGGUAUGUAAACUUCGAAAGAAUAGGAAGAAUAAAUGACGGUACUAUUUAUAAGGUCCGGCUAACUACGUGCCAGCAGCCGCGGUAAUACGUAGGGACCAAGCGUUGUUCGGAUUUACUGGGCGUAAAGGGCGCGUAGGCGGCAUGACAAGUCACUUGUGAAAUCUCUGGGCUUAACCCAGAACGGCCAAGUGAUACUGUCGCGCUAGAGUGCAGAAGGGGCAAUCGGAAUUCUUGGUGUAGCGGUGAAAUGCGUAGAUAUCAAGAGGAACACCCGAGGUGAAGACGGGUUGCUGGGCUGACACUGACGCUGAGGCGCGAAAGCCAGGGGAGCAAACGGGAUUAGAUACCCCAGUAGUCCCUGAGCGGGCUGGCAAGGCGCAU